UACGGGGGGAGCAAGCGUUGUCCGGAAUUACUGGGCGUAAAGGGCGCGUAGGCGGAUUUGUAAGUCAGAAGUGAAAUCUAUCGGCUCAACCGAUAAACUGCUUCUGAUACUGCAAGUCUUGAGUAAGGCAGAGGAAAGUGGAAUUCCUGGUGUAGCGGUGAAAUGUGUAGAUAUCAGGAAGAACACCAGUUGCGAAGGCGGCUUUCUGGGCCUUUACUGACGCUGAGGCGCGAAAGCGUGGGGAGCGAACAGGAUUAGAUACCCUUGUA
Molecule: ribosomal RNA, 269 nt
Filed under: uncultured prokaryote
Description: partial 16S ribosomal RNA
Rfam family: Bacterial small subunit ribosomal RNA
Source: RNAcentral